GCCUGUGGCACAAGGGGUCAGUGUGUUUGGCUCGAAACCAGAAGGUUGGUGAUUCGAGCCCACACAGGGAUG
Non-coding RNA from Podarcis lilfordi (Lilford's wall lizard), 72 nucleotides. The record is from the annotation of a GenBank genome assembly. NCBI's taxonomy places the organism in Eukaryota, Metazoa, Chordata, Lepidosauria, Squamata, Lacertidae.